Molecule: long non-coding RNA, 867 nt
Organism: Rosa chinensis
Lineage: Eukaryota; Viridiplantae; Streptophyta; Magnoliopsida; Rosales; Rosaceae
Exons: 2
Source: RefSeq, a predicted model, not a curated record
GUGCUCUUGGGACGACGUCGUUCCUCCAUCGGCGCCUCCACCUUUGCUACUCCACCUUUGCGCCUCCAUCGGCGCCUCCACCUUUCGCGGGGGAGAUUAUAGCAAAGGUUGCUCAUGAACUCAGAGAAAGACUCAUUUUCGUAUUCCAGAAGUACCAAAAAGGUAGAUACUUUCUUGCCCAUCUCUUAAUUUCAUUGAUGAACUUUCUUGAUCUUAUAUUUGUGGGUAAUUUUUUACGAUUGAGAACUCAAUUGGCCUUUAUUUUGUUCACUAAUCAAACAUGAGGUGUCUGAUUCAUAUUUCUCCUCCGGCUCACAUGAUGAAUGUGUAUGAGACUUGUGUUGUAGUGUUGCUCUGCCAUUAUGCUUGUCAUUAUGUUUCGCAUCUCAAUAAUCAUCUCUAGUUAAGCAUGAGACUUUUGUGUAGAGGUAUGUAUUAAGCUUCUUCUUAACAACCAGGUAUGACGAAAAGACUCGCAUGGUUAUCAGUCCUUGCUUUGAUGUUAACUCACCAUUGUAUUAGAAACUUAAAUUUCUUUAUGGAAUUCUUUAUGGAAAUUUGUUUCAGUAUGGAUUUCUCAUUUUUACUGAUUCUUCUGGAAGUUCUCUAUAAUUAGGAAGCUAAAGUUACAGCAGCUUUUAAGUCCCAAAUCGAGAAGCUAUAGAAAGAGAGAGAUGAGUUUCAGAAGAUUGUCAUUGGGAAUCAGGUUGGACGUUUGGGUUUAAUGUAGACUUGUGUUGUUGUGCUACUAUUUGAAACUGGACUAAUGCUGACAAGUAUUAGUGAUAUGUUGAUGCUGUUCAAAGCAAGUUAAGACUCAACAGAUGCAUGAUUUUAAGAAAAAAGAAAAGCAUUGACCAAAAAAAA